This 253-nucleotide ribosomal RNA is filed under the name uncultured bacterium. RNAcentral describes it as "partial 16S ribosomal RNA". It matches the Rfam family "Bacterial small subunit ribosomal RNA", at positions 524 to 776 of the family's 1533-position model. The record is from RNAcentral.
UACGUGGGGUGCAAGCGUUAAUCGGAAUUAUUGGGCGUAAAGGGCGCGUAGGCGGUGCCACAAGUCACUUGUGAAAUCCCCGGGCUCAACCCGGGAACUGCGUCCGAUACUGGAAGGCUUGAAUCCGGGAGAGGGAUGUGGAAUUCCAGGUGUAGCGGUGAAAUGCGUAGAUAUCUGGAGGAACACCGGUGGCGAAGGCGACAUCCUGGACCGGUAUUGACGCUGAGGCGCGAAAGCCAGGGGAGCAAACGGG